RNAcentral lists this ribosomal RNA (448 nucleotides) under uncultured bacterium. RNAcentral's name for it is "bacterial SSU rRNA". It matches the Rfam family "Bacterial small subunit ribosomal RNA", at positions 330 to 792 of the family's 1533-position model. The record is from RNAcentral.
UCCAGACUCCUACGGGAGGCAGCAGUGGGGAAUAUUGGGCAAUGGGCGCAAGCCUGACCCAGCAACGCCGCGUGAAGGAAGAAGGCUUUCGGGUUGUAAACUUCUUUUCUGAGGGACGAAGAAAGUGACGGUACCUCAGGAAUAAGCCACGGCUAACUACGUGCCAGCAGCUGCGGUAAUACGUAGGUGGCAAGCGUUAUCCGGAUUUAUUGGGUGUAAAGGGCGUGUAGGCGGGAAAGCAAGUCAGAUGUGAAAACUCAGGGCUCAACCCUGAGCCUGCAUUUGAAACUGUUGAUCUUGAGUACUGGAGAGGCAGACGGAAUUCCUAGUGUAGCGGUGAAAUGCGUAGAUAUUAGGAGGAACACCAGUGGCGAAGGCGGCUUACUGGACUGUAAAUGACGCUGAGGCUCGAAAGCGUGGGGAGCAAACAGGAUUAGAUACCCCCGUA